GUUGAGGUGGCAGAUUUAAGUGCAUUAGAUUUAAGCUCUAAAUAUGAAUUAUUAAAAUUCUCUUGACU
Molecule: transfer RNA, 68 nt
Filed under: Trisidos kiyonoi
Lineage: Eukaryota; Metazoa; Mollusca; Bivalvia; Arcoida; Arcidae
Description: tRNA-Leu
Source: RNAcentral